RNAcentral lists this small nuclear RNA (181 nucleotides) under Nomascus leucogenys (northern white-cheeked gibbon). RNAcentral's name for it is "U4 spliceosomal RNA (ENSNLEG00000033373.1)". The stretch from base 1 to 136 matches the Rfam family "U4 spliceosomal RNA". From Rfam's summary of the family: U4 small nuclear RNA (U4 snRNA) is a component of the major U2-dependent spliceosome. The structure of U4 snRNA from yeast and human has been reported. Lineage: Eukaryota; Metazoa; Chordata; Mammalia; Primates; Hylobatidae. The record is from RNAcentral.
AGCUUUGCGCAGUGGCAGUAUCGUAGCCAACGAGGUCUAUCCGAGGCGCGAUUAUUGCUAAUUGAAAUUGCAGUCUAGGUUAUGUAAAGGAAUGUUGAUCCCAAUAUUAUUGUCGCCAUGGAAGGCUCUGAAGAUCAAGCAACAGAAUUCUAAUUUUAUUAUCUGUAUACUGGAAAACCAG